Long non-coding RNA from Hyla sarda, 710 nucleotides. RefSeq lists it as uncharacterized. The transcript has 3 exons. The record is from RefSeq and is a predicted model, not a curated record. Lineage: Eukaryota; Metazoa; Chordata; Amphibia; Anura; Hylidae.
CAAUGCUGCGGACAGUCCAGAUCUGUGAAACAUGUCAAUGGCUGGAAGAAAUGACCAAUUAGAAUGGACAUUUUACUGGAGUGAUUUUUAUAUUGCCCACACCUGUUACUUGCCCCCAGGUAUCUGCUGAUAUUGAAUGGAAUCCAUGCGGCCCCCCAACUAUAACAAGACUCCCAGUAGCGGCACUGGUCACAAAGUCUACACCUUGAUGGAACCUCCCAAUUUGCAGGUAGCAACCAUGUCUUGGAACACUAUGUUUUGACACCAUGCACAACACCCCUUGUUAUAACCAAAUAACUCCCACCGCACCUAAAACCGUAGUCUACCACAGUUUGAGGUCAGGUGGAAAACCGCAUACAGGGCAAAAAGGAGCCGACCAGAGUCAGCGUUUCACUUCAGUCAGCUCAUUGAAAUUACACACGGGCGGUCACGUAUUGGUAAAAGCGUGAUGUGAACCCAGCCUUAUUCUCUCAAAUUCCUUCUUUCUGUUGCUCACUGGUUGUUGACACCCUCACUCCGCAUGACUACUUCCUCCCUGUUCUGCUGGGUCUUUUCAUCCAAUCAGUGCAGGCUGCCCUGUAACUGCCUCCUGUUUCCAUGCUGCAGUCUGAUAGGACAGGAGUGAGCACCAACAAGUGUCAUUCCCACCCUCACUCAGAUGUUACGUUCAAGCACUGCCCUCCUCUUUGUUGGGGGCCGCUGGCGCAGAA